RNAcentral lists this long non-coding RNA (1003 nucleotides) under Mytilus galloprovincialis (Mediterranean mussel). The record is from RNAcentral. Lineage: Eukaryota; Metazoa; Mollusca; Bivalvia; Mytilida; Mytilidae.
AUUAAGUCAAAAAUAUUUUUGAUGUGAUAUUUUACUGUGAUAAAAGUGUCUGAAUAAUUGAUAAUGUUGGCUUAGGAAAUGUGAUGUGAACUACCUUUUUGGUUUGCCAGAAUUCUUUUUUUCUAGGUUUCAAUGUGAAAAAUACCAUGUUCACUGCUCUGAGUCAUAUUAUCUCUUAUAAACAAGUUAUUUGGGGAAAUGAACAACAAGAGCAAAAGUGUAACCAUACAUUUGAUUUUUUGGGUAAAGAUUAUUUGAAAUACAACCCUGAUACUCCUUUCUUCAUUCUUUUUUUCAAAAUUUUUCAUGGUUUUGAAUUAGAUUUGCAUUUUAAUAAAUAUCUUUAUAACUAAUAGAUGCAUUUUUUAUCAAAUAAACAUACUAUUGUUAUAAGAUCAUAGGGACUACAUAAUAUUGCAUUGUAAUUCACAUCAGGAAAAAAAUUCUUCUGUUUUCUGUGACUGUCACAGGAAAAGUAAGAAACUCAGAAUAUUAGCCAACAAGAAGAUAUGAAAUAAGACUAGGACAAAACACCUCUAAUGAUUAUUUCUUUUAUAAAAAUAAUUUUCGUUUUUUCAAAACUUAACCAAUUUUCCUGAUUUGAGUGCAUUCAGAAAAAUGAAGCUUCAAAGCUUUGCAUAAAAGUUCAUGUGUUGUGAAAAAUGUGAAAUAUUUUAAUUGUAUGUACCGGUAUUGUUUAUUGAGCUAUUCCAAGGAAAGCAAGUUGGCAUUUACCUGAUGAAAGCAUUUCUUCACAACUGCAUCGAAUCAGCAGAAGUAACUAGUAAAAUACAUUUUCUUUAACUUACUCUUUGAAAUACAAACCAUCCAUAUGAGUUGACCUAGGCCUUGACCAUUUCCUUUUCUUGGAAUAGUUAAUAUUUGUUUUGUCUGUGAUGAUUUGGUGAUUGUUCAUAUAAUGGUCAGUUGAUAUGUUAUAUAAUGGUCAGUUGAUAUGUUAUAUAAUGGUCAGUUGAUAUGUUAUAUAUAUUAUUCUAGUCAG